UCCUUGGUGGUCCAGUGAUUAAGACUCCACACUCCCAAUGCAGGAGGCCCAGGUUCAAUCCCUGGUCAGGGAG
This 73-nucleotide transfer RNA is filed under the name Bos taurus (domestic cattle). It matches the Rfam family "tRNA". From Rfam's summary of the family: Transfer RNA (tRNA) molecules are approximately 80 nucleotides in length. Their secondary structure includes four short double-helical elements and three loops (D, anti-codon, and T loops). Further hydrogen bonds mediate the characteristic L-shaped molecular structure. tRNAs have two regions of fundamental functional importance: the anti-codon, which is responsible for specific mRNA codon recognition, and the 3' end, to which the tRNAs corresponding amino acid is attached (by aminoacyl-tRNA synthetases). tRNAs cope with the degeneracy of the genetic code in two manners: having more than one tRNA (with a specific anti-codon) for a particular amino acid; and 'wobble' base-pairing, i.e. permitting non-standard base-pairing at the 3rd anti-codon position. RNAcentral also lists the same sequence under 1 other name. Lineage: Eukaryota; Metazoa; Chordata; Mammalia; Artiodactyla; Bovidae. The record is from Rfam by way of RNAcentral.